CCCUUAGAUGAUUUGGGCUGCACGCGCGCUACACUGACCCUAACAAUGAGCAACUGUCUGGCCUGAGAUGGCUGGGUAGCCUUUUCAACCCAUGUCAUGAUUGGGCUAGAUUUUUGUAAGUCUUGAUCUCUAACGAGGAAUCCCUAGUAUGCGUGAAUCAUCAAUCCAUGCAGAUUAUGUCCCUGCCCUUUGUACACACCGCCCGCCGCUCCUACUGAUUGGGUGAUCCGGUGAGCUGUUCGGCCAUAGCAAUGUUUCUUGAGCAGGGCAAUGAAUGUUUCACAAACCUUGCCACUUAGAGGAAGGAGAAGUCGUAACA
This 319-nucleotide ribosomal RNA is filed under the name uncultured eukaryote. Its description in RNAcentral is "partial 18S ribosomal RNA". It matches the Rfam family "Eukaryotic small subunit ribosomal RNA", at positions 1470 to 1796 of the family's 1831-position model. The record is from RNAcentral.